UACGUAGGGGGCUAGCGUUGUCCGGAAUCAUUGGGCGUAAAGAGCGCGUAGGCGGCUGGAAUAGUCCGGUGUGAAAUCCACAGGCUUAACCUGUGAAUGCCGCUGGAAACUGUCUGGCUAGAGUCCGGAAGGGGCGAGUGGAAUUCCUGGUGUAGCGGUGAAAUGCGCAGAUAUCAGGAGGAACACCGGUGGCGAAGGCGGUUCUCUGGGCAUUACCUGACGCUGAGGAGCGAAAGUGUGGGGAGCGAACAGG
RNAcentral lists this ribosomal RNA (253 nucleotides) under uncultured bacterium. Its description in RNAcentral is "partial 16S ribosomal RNA". It matches the Rfam family "Bacterial small subunit ribosomal RNA", at positions 524 to 776 of the family's 1533-position model. The record is from RNAcentral.